RNAcentral lists this ribosomal RNA (497 nucleotides) under uncultured bacterium. Its description in RNAcentral is "partial 16S ribosomal RNA". It matches the Rfam family "Bacterial small subunit ribosomal RNA", at positions 28 to 507 of the family's 1533-position model. The record is from RNAcentral.
GAUGAACGCUGGCGGCGUGCCUAAUACAUGCAAGUCGAGCGAACAGACGAGGAGCUUGCUCCUCUGACGUUAGCGGCGGACGGGUGAGUAACACGUGGAUAACCUACCUAUAAGACUGGGAUAACUUCGGGAAACCGGAGCUAAUACCGGAUAAUAUAUUGAACCGCAUGGUUCAAUAGUGAAAGACGGUUUUGCUGUCACUUAUAGAUGGAUCCGCGCAGCAUUAGCUAGUUGGUAAGGUAACGGCUUACCAAGGCAACGAUGCGUAGCCGACCUGAGAGGGUGAUCGGCCACACUGGAACUGAGACACGGUCAAGACUCCUACGGGAGGAAGCAGUAGGGAAUCUUCCGAAAUGGGCGAAAGCCUGCCGGAGCAACGCCGCGUGAGUGAUGAAGGUCUUCGGAUCGUAAAACUCUGUUAUUAGGGAAGAACAAAUGUGUAAGUAACUAUGCACGUCUUGACGGUACCUAAUCAGAAAGCCACGGCUAACUACGUG